This 348-nucleotide unclassified non-coding RNA is filed under the name soil metagenome. Its description in RNAcentral is "partial contains 5.8S ribosomal RNA, internal transcribed spacer 2, and large subunit ribosomal RNA". The stretch from base 1 to 120 matches the Rfam family "5.8S ribosomal RNA", at positions 35 to 154 of the family's 154-position model. The record is from RNAcentral.
GAUGAAGAACGUAGUGAAAUGCGAUAAUUAAUGUGAAUUGCGGAAUUCAGUGAAUCAUCGAGUCUUUGAACGCACAUUGCGCCCGCUGGUAUUCCGGCGGGCAUGCCUGUUCGAGCGUCAUUUCAACCCUCAAGCCCCCGGGUUUGGUGUUGGGGAUCGGCUCUGCCCUUCUGGGCGGUGCCGCCCCCGAAAUACAUUGGCGGUCUCGCUGCAGCCUCCAUUGCGUAGUAGCUAACACCUCGCAACUGGAACGCGGCGCGGCCAUGCCGUAAAACCCCAACUUCUGAAUGUUGACCUCGGAUCAGGUAGGAAUACCCGCUGAACUUAAGCAUAUCAAUAAGCGGAGGA